RNAcentral lists this ribosomal RNA (251 nucleotides) under uncultured prokaryote. RNAcentral's name for it is "partial 16S rRNA". It matches the Rfam family "Bacterial small subunit ribosomal RNA", at positions 525 to 775 of the family's 1533-position model. The record is from RNAcentral.
ACGUAGGCAGCAAGCGUUGUUCGGAAUUACUGGGCGUAAAGAGUGCGUAGGCGGUUGGCUAAGUUUGGUGUGAAAUCUCCCGGCUCAACUGGGAGGGUGCGCCGAAAACUGGCCGGCUAGAGUGUGGGAGAGGUAAGUGGAAUUCCUGGUGUAGCGGUGAAAUGCGUAGAUAUCAGGAGGAACACCUGCGGUGUAGACGGCUUACUGGACCAUGACUGACGCUGAGGCACGAAAGCGUGGGGAGCAAACAG